RNAcentral lists this long non-coding RNA (501 nucleotides) under Nicotiana benthamiana. RNAcentral's name for it is "long non-coding RNA (NBEN_LNC038118)". Lineage: Eukaryota; Viridiplantae; Streptophyta; Magnoliopsida; Solanales; Solanaceae. The record is from RNAcentral.
GCCGUUUAGCCUUUGUCUUUCUUCUUCUGAAUUCUGAUUAGGAUGAUUGUUUUUUCUCAUUUUUAGGCACACUUGGAGGACCUGGCUGAGAAGGAUGCAACUGAGAAGUCUGAUGCUGCAAGGGAUGCUUUUCUGGCUGAACUUGCUCGUGAUUCUGAGAAGUGUUCAAGUGGGGGAAAUGAGAAAGCUAAACAUGCUCACGAAAAGACAAAGGACAAGAAAAAGAAUAAAGAGUAUCGAAGAGCAAAGGAUUCAAAGGUUUGAGCUGUGGGUCAAACUUUUGUAUCUGAAGCAGUUGUUUAUGUAUAAUGCUGGGGGGGUGUUCCAUUGGGGGAAAUGAGAAGUCUAAACAUGCCCAUGAAAAGACAAAGGACAAGAAAAAAAACAAAGAGUAUCGAAGAGCAAAGGAUUCAAAGGUUUGAGCUGUGGGUCAAACUUUGGUAUCUGAAGCAGUUGUUUAUGUAUAACGCUGGGAGGAGGUAUAACAUGUUUCCUCUUUCU